This 393-nucleotide ribosomal RNA is filed under the name uncultured bacterium. RNAcentral's name for it is "partial 16S ribosomal RNA". It matches the Rfam family "Bacterial small subunit ribosomal RNA", at positions 523 to 918 of the family's 1533-position model. The record is from RNAcentral.
AUACGGAGGUUCCGAGCGUUAUCCGGAUUUAUUGGGUUUAAAGGGAGCGUAGGUGGACAGUUAAGUCAGUUGUGAAAGUUUGCGGCUCAACCGUAAAAUUGCAGUUGAUACUGGCUGUCUUGAGUACAGUAGAGGUGGGCGGAAUUCGCGGUGUAGCGGUGAAAUGCUUAGAUAUCACGAAGAACUACGAUUGCGAAGGCAACUCACUAGAAUGCGACUGACAAUGAUGCUCGAAAGUGUGGAUAUCAAACAAGAUUAGAUACCCUGGUAGUGCACACAGUAAACGAGGAAUACACGCUGUUUGCGAUAUACAGUAAGCGGCCAAGCGAAAGCAUUAAGUAUUCCACCUGGGGAGUACAGCGUCAACGGUGAGACACAAAUGAAUUGACGGGG